Molecule: ribosomal RNA, 247 nt
Filed under: uncultured bacterium
Lineage: Bacteria
Description: partial 16S ribosomal RNA
Rfam family: Bacterial small subunit ribosomal RNA
Source: RNAcentral
AGAUGGCGACCGGCGCACGGGUGAGUAACACGUAUCCAACCUGCCGAUAACUCGGGGAUAGCCUUUCGAAAGAAAGAUUAAUACCCGAUGGUAUAAUCAGACCGCAUGGUUUGAUUAUUAAAGAAUUUCGGUUAUCGAUGGGGAUGCGUCCCAUUAGGCAGUUGGUGAGGUAACGGCUCACCAAACCUUCGAUGGAUAGGGGUUCUGAGAGGAAGGUCCCCCACAUUGGAACUGAGACACGGUCCAA